CAAACUAUUAAUAUUUGUGAUUGUCAUGUGAAGAGAACCAUAAGAAAAUGUGGCCGAUGCAGAUUUAAUUAUGGUUGUAAACACAUAAAAAAUAUUGAUUUCGUAGUCUAAUAUAAAGGUUUUAGAUGUCUCUGCAAGGACAUCACAACCAUAAUAGCUGUUGCAUUUGUUUGAAUGUUGCCACAAUACAAUGGUUCACAACAUAAUCACAAUGAGCUAUAAUAUAAUAUAUUCAAAUUUUAAUUCUACCUAUAUAUGCAGACUUGGAUUGUCAAGGAUUAUCCAGAAGAGCUAGUGAUAACAACCAUUUGUUGCUGUUUUGUGGUAAUCAUAUCUACCAUUGUAGCUCUCAUUGCAGAGGGAAAUUCAAAAGCUUGGAGACUCAGACCUGAUAAAGAGUUGCUAUCUGUGUGUUACUCAGUAAGUUUAAGCUUUAUUAUAAUUAUAAUUAGGCUUAAUUGCACUUUUGGCCACCUAUCUUUCUAAAAGUUGUGAUUUUGGCCCCCUAACUAAUUAAAAUACAAAACAACCCCUAUGUAUUGGAUCUUUGACAGUUUUGGCCCCAAGGCCACUUUUGAUUAGUCUUCGCUGACGUGUCACUCACAAUGGUCGACACGUGGCACCUUACUUAAGGGAUAUAGGUGUCAUGUCAGCGAAGACUAAGUCAAAAGUGGCCUUGGGGGCCAAAACUGCCAAAGAUCCAAUACAUAAGGGACUGUUUUGUAUUUUAAUUAGUUAGGGGGUCAAAAUCGCAACUUUUAGAAAGUUAGGGGUCAAAAGUGCAAUUAAGCCUAUAAUUAUUAUUAUUAUUAUUAUUAGGCUUAAAAAAUUAUUAUGAAAUUUUAAAACAUAUUAAAAAAGUUUGCAUCAUAAUUUUUUUACAUGAAAUGUAUUGUAACGUAAAAAUAUGUUUUUUUUGUUAAGUAGUUUAUUGACUGAGAAUUUACUUUUAUAAGAUGAAUAAAUGGGGUUUCGAGGGUUCGAACUUCAUCCCCUACAUAUAUUAUGUGUUGUUGUCCAUAUCAACCAAACAAAGCUCACGAGGACUGUGUUUUUAUAAUUAUCAUUUAGCUAACGUGGAUAUUUAAAUAUGUUCUUUUAGUUUCAGAAUUAUAAAUUGUAGCUGUCUAAAUUUUGGUCUUGUGAUUAUUCAUUUAAUAAAUUAUAGGCAGCAUUUGUGGUAUCAUUAAGGAAUGUUGUAAACACAUGGGCAUGUCGUAAGAAAGGACCAAUAUAUGUAGCUACCUUCAACCCUUUAAGAGUGGUCAUUGCACUUGGCAUGCGGGGUAAUAUUUUUGGGAGACAAUCUUUAUCUUGGAAGGUAUAUAUAAAGACCAAAAAUUUGUGAAAUAUAAUUUCAAGAUUGACUAAUUUUUUGUAAUUAAAAACUGGUUUAACCUAUUGGUGCAGCGUGAUUGGUGCUGCUAUCAUAGUUAUUGGAUUUUAUGCUGUGAUAUGGGCAAAGGCUCAAGAGGAACAGACAACAAGUGAAAAUAACUUUUUGUCAUCUUCUUCAACCCCUCUAUUGUCAAACAAAAGCAUCGAUAUCUAGGAUGAUGUAGACUCUACUUUUUUAAGGUGGUAGGUUAUACUAAACAUUAUGUUUGAUAAACGUAACUAUUGUGAGAGAAAUGUGUAUUGCACGAGAAUUGAAGCAAUGUAAUCAUUCAUGAACAAACUCUUACAAAUGGUUAUUUCUAUUCACUAAAGGGCAGAUUUUCUAUAAAUAAAUAUAUUUUGGAAGUAGAAAAUAAGUCCGAAAAAGAAGGUAGAACAUUACAUUUUUGUGAGUAUAAAUUCUACCGAAAAUAAUACUAAAUCAUUGUAUCUUUUCUUUAGUGAACAAGAGAAAUUAACAUGACUUUAUUCUCUAAACUAUCAUUCUAUCUUUUCUUUUCUUUAGUGCACAAGAGAUUUGCCAUUAUACCAUUUUGCAUCCAGUCGGCAUAACUGGUGGGGACGAAUCGAACCUCAAAGUUAGUGUGUCCCACACACGCUUUGAAAUUUAUGGGCACUCUUCAUCAUUGAUGACAGAGCAUCAUAUGAUAUUUUGACUAUGUUUUUAGUAUUUUUUAUUUGCAUUUAAAUACAAAUAAGAUGAGUUAAAGGAGUUGUCAGUGGUUUGAGGAACAUAUUGUAUUGUUUUCACUCGAGUCGUUGUAAUUCAGUUUUCUCCUAGAUCAUGCAAUUCCAUAGGUGUUUUGAGUGUUUUGCAGUGAGGAAUAAUGUAAAUCAUCAAAUCAAAACAUCUUGUGAAGAUUAAGAAUUGAAGAUUAAGGGUUCUUAUUAGAUAGGAAAAUUGUUGCUCAAUGCUUUGAUAGGAAAAUUGUAGUGGCUACCAUUAAUUAAUCAUGUCAUUUUAGAUUGUAAGGAACUUAUUAGAAAUCUAGAUGUAGUUAAAGUUGAGUAUAUUAGCAGAUUGUUAAAUGCUAAAGCUCAUAACCUUGAUGGAAUUGCUAGAGAUGUUGGAUCAAAGACAUGAGUGGGGAAUGCCCCUCCACAUGGUCAAAUUAGUUGUAACCUUGUUUCUGUUUUCUGUUAAAUGAACAAGUGGAAUUUCAAAAAAAAUAAAUAAAUAAAUUAGAAGUGAGGACAAACGAAUUGGAAAGCCAGAUAUUAUUAAAGUGAGAACAAAUUUGGUUUGAUUUGGGACGCACCUUUAACGGUUUGGGUAAUAUUUUCCAAAUUGUAAUAACAGUCAACUUGGUUUGAUUAUUUUCCUAAACCAAACUAUAAAUAGUCUUGGUUUUCUGGACUAAAAUAAAUAUAAAAAAAAAGUUUUGGUUCUUCUUUUUUAAGGAAAAAUAUAAAAAAAAAUAUUAUUCAUCAAAAAAGUUAUAGUUAUCGGAUAUUUUAUUAAAGAAAGUGUUAACGAGUGUUUCAAAGACUAUUUCCAUAUUAUUUUAAUAGGAAAUGUUAGCGAGUACUUUAAGGACACUCUUUAAAAGCUUUAAAUAAUAAUUUUUUAUGAAAAUUUGUGCAUUCAAUGAAUCGAAAAUUGAAGUAUUGGACUUUUUAAUGAAAAGUUUCUUAAGACAUUUAUUGACAAUACCUAUUUUUUUUUUUCAAUUCUUUUAAAUAGAUAAAAUGAUAAACAAUUAUUGAAGUUCGCAAAUAUAAGUAGAUGGGUCGGAAUUCUAACCUUGUUGCAUCGUCCGAUCUAUCAAUUUUAACGUUUCUAUCAUUGAGGCUAGAAUUGAGGACAAAGAAAGCCCGAUAUUUUUUUUUAUCUUAAACGAAGUGUCGAAUCUGGAUCACAACAUCUGACUUUGCAAUUUCGGCAUUUACCAGUUGAGCUAGGACUAAGCCCGAUAUUAUUAAAGUAAGAAGUGAGAACAAACAAAAAAAUCAGAUAGAGACAGAAAAAACAUUGUGACCAAAGGAGCAAGUGUAACAAACAACAACUAGUGUGAGACUGCCGUGCACGGAUUAACUUUCAUAAACUAAAUACAUUUUAAAUGAUGUAAAAUAUACAGACAAACAAUAUAAAAUUAAAAUUCACGAAAAUUUAUGAUAACAUUAAAUCAUUACGGUUCUUAAAAAAAAAAAAAAAAAUAAUCAGUAAAUUCAAUGGAAAUGGUUUGAUCACGGUGUCCCUAAAUCACAAUGGUUGUCUCUUUGACACACCAACUACUUUAAUCGAGCUUUUCCGACUCUCUGUCCUAGUUUUUUUACCAUAGCAUUAUUUCAACCAAAUCAUAUUCUAUACUAUAUGGUUACCUAAUAUUGGAAGAUUUUAUUGCUACAAAUAGAAUCAUGUUACAAAAAUAUAUUUUUCUAAUCUUUUUUUAGAGAAUAUUUUCCUCAUCCUUGUGGAGCACUUGUUGAGAUGCCUAUUCUAAAGUGAAGAUAUUUUAUAUUCUUCUUUUGAUAUUUUAUGAAAGUAAUUGAUUAUCAUCGUAAUUAAUAUUAAUUAAUUAGAUGAGCCGGGAUUUUGGACUUGAUAAGACAAGCAAAUUAUUGGAGGAAAUUAAAGCAAUAUAUUUUUUAUUCUUGUAAGUUGUGUUUGUUUCUAGUUAUAUUCAUAGAUUUUUGAAAUUAAAUGAUAGAAAUAUAAGCUAAAUUAUUUCACAGGUCUUUUAAGUUUUAUGUUUAUAAUAGAUUGAUCCUUUAAGUUAUUUUGAACACACAAAAAUCCUUUAAGUUUAAGGUUUGUAAUAGAAAAAAUGUUAUUGGAAAUAGAAAAAAUUCCAGAAAAAAAAGUGGGAAUAAAGUUCUCACGAAGAUAAGAAUAAAUUCAUUCCCAAAAAGAAUAAUCAUGUGUAACUAUAUAUUAUAACCUCUAUUUUUAAGAUUCUUGAGAAUAUAUAAUCUUAACCAAACAUUUUAUUUUUAUUUUUUUUAAAUACGUUGAAAUAAAAUUCACAAUCUUAGAAAUAUAUUUAGUAAACUUGAAACAAACACAUCAUAGAUAGAUGAAAUGAUAAAUAACCAUUGAACAUCACGCAUAUAAGUAAAUGAGCUAGGAUAUUAAUCCUAAUCACAUUGUCCGACCUAACAAUUUUGACAUUUUUAUUAGUCAAACUAAAGUUAAACUUGAGGACAAGAAAAGCAGAUAUUAUAAAAGUAAGACGUGAGAACAAGCAAAUUAGAGAAAAAAUGGCGAGUGGAGGAGCAAGUGUAACAACAACAAUGAUUGCAGCUCAAAUCGUUGAAGUGGGUGGUGAAACUCUAAUGAAAUCAGCCACUAAAGAUGGAAUGAGUAUUUUUAUUUUCAUUUUUUAUUCAAACCUUUUGGCUCUAUGUUUUCUUCUACCAUCCACUCUCUUCCACCAUAGAAAAAGAGCUCCUCCUCCAAUUUCAACAUCAAUUUUCUGUAGAUUACUUCUUCUUGGUUGCCUCAAGUAAGAACAAAAUAGUAUAUAUAUUAUUAUUAUUAUAAGGAUUUGAAUUUGGUAAAAUAGAGUGAUAUGGAGCUACUUGUGCAGAACUGCAACUCAGACGUUAAUGACUUCUGGAAUUAAAUUCAGUUCUCCUGCGUUGGCUUCAGCUAUUGUUAAUCUUGUCCCUGCUUUUACCUUCAUACUUGCUAUAAUUUCAAGGUAUGUUGUUUUUAUUUUAUGGUUUAAAUUACAAGGUUUGUUCUUUUUUUGGAUUAGAAUGCAUUUACUUGCAUCAUAAAGUCAGCAACAUAAAAUAUACUCUUUUUGUCUUUAAAAAACAAAAACUGUUUUAUUCAACUUUUUUUUUAUAGAUAGAUGAAAUGUAAAGUCAUUAUGAAGUCACACACAUAAGUAGAGGUAUUAAGUUUCGAACCCCGAUUAUGACAUCCAGCCUAAUAAUUUUUGCAUUUUGCUAGUUGAGCUAGGACUUAUAGAUUGUUUUAUUCACAUUUAUUUACAACUUUUUCUUUUUUCAGAUUUAUUAAAUAAACUAUGCAUCUAGAUGAUAUUAAAUUUUAAAUUAUUAAUUAUUUAAUGAAUCAAAAAAACAAAAAUUACUUAUUUAUUUGGUGGGUAGCUUGUCUUUUCUCGAUUGCUACUGAGUUGUAUCGUAGUGUUUCGUUUCUUGUUAAUUUUCUUGGUUGUGGGACAUGCAUCUCUUUUUAGUUAGUUGACUUCUACUAGUGAAUUUUAUAAUAUCUGACAUGAUCGGUUGAAUAAAUUAAAUAAAUAGAUAAUAUGUUUCAUAUAAUAGGGUGAACAAAUAUUAUUAUUUAAAAAAAAUAUAUAAUAUGAUCCACUCUUUUCAUCUCUAUGUUGGGGAUGAAAAUAGUUUCUAUUUGAGAGAAUAAGAUUGAUUGAAACUUCCUUCCUUCAAAAAAAGAUUGAUUGAGAGAAAAAUGAAUAUUGAAAUAAGAUUUGGUAUUGAUUAUUCACAAUGGUGAUUGGUGAUGUAUUUAUACACGUAGAAUGAUGCUACUUGCUCAGCAAGUAAUGGCUUUGUCUAACAAACUAAAGUUGAAAUCCAUGAAACACUACAAGAGAAUCUAAGAUUUGCUACCAUAACUGUGCUAGGAAAUAUAUUGGUAGUGAAUAUUAAAACAAUUAGCUACCAUUUGAUUGAAUUUUGUUUUAUUUUGAUUUUAUAAUAUAUAAAAAUAAAUAAAUUACUGUAAAGGUCAUUUUUGUUUAAAAUAGAAAAAAAAAUCAUUUAGAAACCAGCACCACAUUAUUGCAAAUCGCGAUCUCAAUUUUGUCCCCCUCACUCGCACAACCUCCGCCGUGGUACCGAUCAUAAGGUCUAACGAUAAAUCAGAAGGUCAAAAUAACCUCAUUAUGUUAAUUUUUUUAUUUUGCUAAUACAAAACUGUUAACUUUCUUUGCCGCAUCAUCAUCAUUUUUUGAUAGAUAAAUGUCACAAAGAACUAAAAAUUGUAAAAACAUAGUCUAAAAACAAUAUAUUGCACUAAAAUCAGAUUUAACACAUAUUGUAGGACCAAAAAUGUUAUUAAACAAAAACAAGGGUUUAUAAAGAUCACAAAGAACUCAUAUAUAUAUCAAUUGUAACAUCUCAGAAGGUGUUUGGUACUAGAGACCAAGGUGAUUUUCAAAAAUAUCUGAACUGAUAAAGCUUGAAUAUUUUUGGGACGUUUAAUACUACAAUUACAUAUUUUUCAAAAUAUACAGCAAGAAUUUACAUUCUAGUAUAUGACUCUGACUGUGAUCCGGUAACAAAAUGGCCACUUUCAAAAUUUCAUUACUAUUAUUUAAUCCUUGCAAAUACGAGAAAAAAUAAACUAACAUGAAUACUGUGAUGUGCAUUUUCAGGAUGGAAGUUCUAAAUAUGAAAAAGCAUAGCAGCCAGGCAAAAGUUAUUGGCACAGUGGUCUCUAUUGCAGGGGCAUUAGUUGUGACAUUUUAUAAAGGGAUACCAUUGAUUAAUGAUGCCAUUAAAAAUAUAGAAAUGGGAGCAAGUGGAAUUUUCCUUUUAGGGAAAUCAGAUUGGAUAAUUGGUGCUUUUCUUGUUGCAGUUGGUAGUUUUUGUCUUUCUCUUUUGUUUAUUGUCCAGGUAAACAAACUAUGUAUCAACGUGUAAUUAUCAUAUCAAUAGGGAAAUAUAUUCAAUUUUUUUCCAUCUAUGUAUAUAUAUACAGACUUGGAUUGUCAGGGAUUAUCCAGAAGAGCUAGUGAUAAACACCAUUUGUUGCUGUUUUGUGGUAAUCAUAUCUACCAUUGUAGCUCUCAUUGCAGAGGGAAAUUCAAAUGCUUGGAGACUCAGACCUGAUAAAGAGUUGCUAUCUGUGUGUUACUCAGUAAGUUUAAGAUUUAUUAUUCUUAUUAUUAGGCUUAAAGUCUGUUCUGAGUUUAACUCAGUUGAUAGGAACGUUGCAUAUUCUAUGCAGGGAUCGGGGUUUGAACUCUGGACACCCCACUUCUCCACAUUUAAAUGUGUGAACUCUGACCACUAGACUACUUGACAAAAAAAUAAAACAUUAAAAAAGUGUGCAUCAUAAUUAUAAAUUGUAGCUUUGUGGUUAUUCAUUUAAUGAUGUCUGCCUUUAAUCAUUUAUAGGCAACUUUUGUGGAAUCAUUGAAGAAUGUUAUACAGACAUGGGCAUGUCGUAAGAAAGGACCAAUAUAUGUAGCUAUGUUCAAACCUUUAAGAGUGGUCAUUGCACUUAGCAUGGGGGUAAUAUUUUUGGGAGACAAUCUUUAUCUUGGAAGGUAAAUCUAAAGACCAACAAAUUUGUGAAAAAUUAUUUAAAUGAUGAUUAAUCCAAGAUUAUUGAUUAAUUUUUUAUAAUUAAAAAUGGUUUAACUUAUUGGUGCAGC
Molecule: long non-coding RNA, 7715 nt
Filed under: Medicago truncatula (barrel medic)
Lineage: Eukaryota; Viridiplantae; Streptophyta; Magnoliopsida; Fabales; Fabaceae
Description: long non-coding RNA (MTRU_LNC003027)
Rfam family: MIR2619 microRNA precursor family (bases 524-721)
Source: RNAcentral